ACGAACGCUGGCGGCAUGCCUAACACAUGCAAGUCGAACGAGACCUUCGGGUCUAGUGGCGCCCGGGUGCGUAACGCGUGGGAACCUGCCCUUAGGUUCGGAAUAACUCCCCGAAAGGGGUGCUAAUACCGGAUAAUGUCUUCGGACCAAAGAUUUAUCGCCUUUGGAUGGGCCCGCGUUGGAUUAGCUAGUUGGUAGGGUAAAAGCCUACCAAGGCGACGAUCCAUAGCUGGUCUGAGAGGAUGAUCAGCCACACUGGGACUGAGACACGGCCCAGACUCCUACGGGAAGCAGCAGUGGGGAAUAUUGGACAAUGGGCGAAAGCCUGAUCCAGCAAUGCCGCGUGAGUGAUGAAGGCCUUAGGGUUGUAAAGCUCUUUUACCCGGGAUGAUAAUGACAGUACCGGGAGAAUAAGCUCCGGCUAACUCCGUG
Molecule: ribosomal RNA, 432 nt
Filed under: uncultured bacterium
Lineage: Bacteria
Description: partial 16S ribosomal RNA
Rfam family: Bacterial small subunit ribosomal RNA
Source: RNAcentral